Molecule: transfer RNA, 72 nt
Filed under: Chitinophagaceae bacterium
Lineage: Bacteria; Pseudomonadati; Bacteroidota; Chitinophagia; Chitinophagales; Chitinophagaceae
Description: tRNA-His
Rfam family: tRNA
About the family: Transfer RNA (tRNA) molecules are approximately 80 nucleotides in length.
Source: RNAcentral
GUAGCCAUAGCUCAGUUGGUUAGAGCAUCAGAUUGUGAUUCUGAGGGUCGAGGGUUCGAGCCCUUGGUUACU